CGCGUAGGCGGUUUGUUAAGUCGGAUGUGAAAGCCCCGGGCUCAACCUGGGAACUGCACCCGAUACUGGCCGACUAGAGUACGAGAGAGGGAGGUAGAAUUCCACGUGUAGCGGUGAAAUGCGUAGAUAUGUGGAGGAAUACCGGUGGCGAAGGCGGUCAUCUGGCUCGGUACUGACGCUGAGGCACGAAAGCUAGGGUAUCAAACG
This 207-nucleotide ribosomal RNA is filed under the name uncultured bacterium. Its description in RNAcentral is "partial 16S ribosomal RNA". It matches the Rfam family "Bacterial small subunit ribosomal RNA", at positions 568 to 774 of the family's 1533-position model. The record is from RNAcentral.